ACUGAUCCGUAGCGUUUCGUUGAUUGGGUUCCACUGUAUUCGUCUGUGUCUGCAACUAGAGGCGUAACUUUUGGUUCCACCACAAUCGUCGCAAUUCGCCAUUAGAGAGACUGAGGUGCAGUCGGUGUGACGAUUCCAUUCGUUGGUUUUGAUCAGGUCCUUUCGCCUUCUUUCGAUCAAUCGAAAUGAGGUUAGCUUAGCUCCUCUUCAAACCAUCUUUGUCGACUUUCAUGGCCAAAUAAGAGGAGAUCGAGAAGAACAAGUGGGAGGUUUGCAAAAGGAUUUAAGCUCAGCUUUGUUGUGUCGAAGAAGAGACCGGGCGAUUGGAUCUUCAGACUAUGUUUCUUUGUUGAGAGAAGAAGUCGAAAAAGAUUUAACAGCUUCCGUUGGGAAAAAACACCUCCUGGAAAACAAGAAAAGACCAAAAACUGUUCAGAAGCAAAUAAUAGGACAUAACACAGGCUCUUAUGACCCCCCUGACGCUGAGGAAACAUGAUCAAAGGGACCAGGGUGAUGAUGAUGAUGGUGAUGACAACAAGCCAGCUGUCAAGCCAGUUCAUGUUAUGUCUGAAUCUGCAGGGGGCAGUGGUAAUACGCAGAAGCAGGCGGCCAACUCAGAUUUGAAGAUGGUUAAAAAGGCGCGUGUUGCUUGACAUGAAGUUUCAUCUAUACAUCUUAAUAAUGCUUUUGCAUCUUUAUUGCCUUUCACGUAUUUUUUUUAGACUGAAAACCUCUUUUUCUUUCUAUGUUUUGACUUUCUCCAAUAUUAUGAGCACUCUAUACGUUUGUUCCAGGCAGUUUUCGUAAUAUGAGUUUAUUUUUCCUUA
This is a long non-coding RNA of Raphanus sativus (radish), 827 nucleotides long. RefSeq lists it as uncharacterized. The record is from RefSeq and is a predicted model, not a curated record. The transcript has 5 exons. NCBI's taxonomy places the organism in Eukaryota, Viridiplantae, Streptophyta, Magnoliopsida, Brassicales, Brassicaceae.